GGCUCCGAAUGCUGGAAGAAACUCCAGCAGAAUAAUUUGCCAGGGGAAGGCGCACAGAGUGGCAAUUGCUCACGGCACAUCUGAACGGGGACGGCUCCUGGGAAAACAAGCUCCCUGACAACGUGCCGGCCCACUGGCCUCUCUCCGCCACUCACCCCAGUGCUAAGGAGGGUUCUGCUCAGAGCGAGACUGCUCUGGCACUGAUGGGGAUCGUCUGGGUCCUGCUGGAACACUUCAUUCAUGGAACAAAGACUCUGAGCACCAGCCAGGAGCACAAGCAGUCACACUUUUGGCAGUGGCUGCGUUUUUCUACCGAUAGCCACAGCUCGUGUCUUGUGGCCCUUCCUCCACGGUUGCCAUGCUGAAUUGUGGCAAACUGUUCAUUCCCCUUGCCCUUUGAGGCUGUCUUAGUCGAUUUGGGCUGGUUACACAGCAGGCAUUUAUUUCUCACGGUGGAGGCUGGGAAGUCCAAGGUCAAGGUGCUGGCAGAUCUGGUGUCUGAUGAGGCCUGCUUCCUGGUCUGCAGAUGGCUGUCUUCUCGCAUCCUCACACGGCGGAGAGCACAGCGUGAGAGAGCCAGCUCUCUUGUGUCUUUUUAUCAGGACACUAACCCCAUUCACGAGCGUUCCACUCUCAUUGGCCUGAUCGAUUGCCUCCCGAAAGCCCUGCCUCCUAAUAUCACGCAUCAGUGUAUGCCUUUUGGGGGGGGGCCACCGACACGCAGCCUAUGGCACAUGCCUAGGAGUGGCCCCAGCAUCCUGUUCUCGAGAGCCCCUGGGUGUGUCACCACCAUUCCAUAUGAGCUCCCUUAGCCCUGCCUCCACCUCUGUAAGUUGCCCCUCAGUGACGCCGUCUUCAAUUAAACCUUCUGAGUGUGUGAUUUGCUCCCGCUGGGUCCCUGACAGAUAGAGUUUCAUUUUCUUGACUUCGGCUCCUCACUCCAGUCCAGUGAAAUCUUUUCGAGGCUUAGUUUUUCAUCCAUCAUAAUAGCUUUUAUUUCCAGCUUUGUUUUACCUGGAAACUUGCUAAACAAGCCCAAUUUCCUGUUCAGACUCAGCCAAGUCCUGAACUGCCCAAAUGCCAAAAGGAGAUCUGGCGUGAAAAGCUCACCCUCUGAGUAAGUGAGGAUCACAAGCCUUCCCCGAACAAAUUAGAUGUGCUGGAGUAUUAAAGUGGGCUGAAGAAUUGUUCGCCCGGUGUGGGGGGAGGGGUGGGAGAGGAAGGAGAGGCACCUGCAGAGAGAGGGGAG
Ailuropoda melanoleuca (giant panda) is the source of this 1249-nucleotide long non-coding RNA. RefSeq lists it as uncharacterized. NCBI's taxonomy places the organism in Eukaryota, Metazoa, Chordata, Mammalia, Carnivora, Ursidae. The transcript is spliced from 3 exons. The record is from RefSeq and is a predicted model, not a curated record.